This 107-nucleotide ribosomal RNA is filed under the name Serratia marcescens. RNAcentral's name for it is "partial 16S ribosomal RNA". It matches the Rfam family "Bacterial small subunit ribosomal RNA", at positions 1435 to 1533 of the family's 1533-position model. Lineage: Bacteria; Pseudomonadati; Pseudomonadota; Gammaproteobacteria; Enterobacterales; Yersiniaceae. The record is from RNAcentral.
UUAACCUUCGGGAGGGCGCUUACCACUUUGUGAUUCAUGACUGGGGUGAAGUCGUAACAAGGUAACCGUAGGGGAACCUGCGGUUGGAUCACCUCCUUACCUAAAGA